GAUGAAGAACGCAGCGAAAUGCGAUAAGUAAUGCGAAUUGCAGAAUUUCCGUGAGUCAUCGAAUCUUUGAACGCACAUUGCGCCCACUGGUAUUCCGGUGGGCAUGCCUGUUCGAGCGUCAUUAUCCUCCCUCAAACCCCGGGUUUGGUGUUGGACCCAAGUUGUGUGAACAACUGGUCUCAAAGACAAUGACGGCGUCCGUGGGACCCUCGGUGCAACGAGCUUUUAGGAGCACGCAUCGAGUUGCAUGGACCUUCCGGGCCGGUCUCCUUUACCAUUUUACAAGGUUGACCUCGGAUCAGGUAGGAAUACCCGCUGAACUUAAGCAUAUCAAUAGCGGAGGA
RNAcentral lists this unclassified non-coding RNA (344 nucleotides) under soil metagenome. RNAcentral describes it as "partial contains 5.8S ribosomal RNA, internal transcribed spacer 2, and large subunit ribosomal RNA". The stretch from base 1 to 121 matches the Rfam family "5.8S ribosomal RNA", at positions 35 to 154 of the family's 154-position model. The record is from RNAcentral.